AUUGAACGCUGGCGGCAGGCCUAACACAUGCAAGUCGAGCGGAUGGAGGGAGCUUGCUCCUGGCUUCAGCGGCGGACGGGUGAGUAAUGCCUAGGAAUCUGCCUGGUAGUGGGGGAUAACGUCCGGAAACGGGCGCUAAUACCGCAUACGUCCUGAGGGAGAAAGUGGGGGAUCUUCGGACCUCACGCUAUCAGAUGAGCCUAGGUCGGAUUAGCUAGUUGGUGGGGUAAAGGCCUACCAAGGCGACGAUCCGUAACUGGUCUGAGAGGAUGAUCAGUCACACUGGAACUGAGACACGGUCCAGACUCCUACGGGAGGCAGCAGUGGGGAAUAUUGGACAAUGGGCGAAAGCCUGAUCCAGCCAUGCCGCGUGUGUGAAGAAGGUCUUCGGAUUGUAAAGCACUUUAAGUUGGGAGGAAGGGCAGUAAGUUAAUACCUUGCUGUUUUGACGUUACCAACAGAAUAAGCACCGGCUAACUUCGUG
This 484-nucleotide ribosomal RNA is filed under the name uncultured bacterium. RNAcentral describes it as "partial 16S ribosomal RNA". It matches the Rfam family "Bacterial small subunit ribosomal RNA", at positions 30 to 507 of the family's 1533-position model. The record is from RNAcentral.